RNAcentral lists this ribosomal RNA (549 nucleotides) under uncultured Glomeromycotina. RNAcentral's name for it is "SSU rRNA". It matches the Rfam family "Eukaryotic small subunit ribosomal RNA", at positions 548 to 1098 of the family's 1831-position model. The record is from RNAcentral. Lineage: Eukaryota; Fungi; Glomeromycota.
UUGGAGGGCAAGUCUGGUGCCAGCAGCCGCGGUAAUUCCAGCUCCAAUAGCGUAUAUUAAAGUUGUUGCAGUUAAAAAGCUCGUAGUUGAAUUUCGGGAUCAAUUUAUCGGUCGUGCCUACGGUAUGAACUGGUACAAUUGGUUUCUCCCUUCUGACGAAGCAUGAUGUCAUUAAUUUGGUGUCGUGGGGAAUCAGGACUGUUACUUUGAAAAAAUUAGAGUGUUUAAAGCAAGCAUUAGCUUGAAUACAUUAGCAUGGAAUAAUGAAAUAGGACGUUUGAUCCUAUUUCGUUGGUUCCUAGGAUCGACGUAAUGAUUAAUAGGGAUAGUUGGGGGCAUUAGUAUUCAAUUGUCAGAGGUGAAAUUCUUGGAUUUAUUGAAGACUAACUACCGCGAAAGCAUUUGCCAAGGAUGUUUUCAUUAAUCAAGAACGAAAGUUAGGGGAUCGAAGACGAUCAGAUACCGUCGUAGUCUUAACCAUAAACUAUGCCGACUAGGGAUCGGAUGAUGUUAAUUUUUUAAUGACUCAUUCGGCGCCUUACGGGAAAC